Molecule: non-coding RNA, 71 nt
Organism: Triticum aestivum (bread wheat)
Lineage: Eukaryota; Viridiplantae; Streptophyta; Magnoliopsida; Poales; Poaceae
Source: Rfam
GUCCAUUGCUCAGUUGGUAGAGCACAAGGCUCUUAACCUUGUGGUCGUGGGCUCAAGUCCCAUGAUGGAUG